CAGUCGCCGCGGGAAUACGUAGGGUGCGAGCGUUAAUCGGAAUUACUGGGCGUAAAGCGUGCGCAGGCGGUUUGUUAAGUCAGAUGUGAAAUCCCCGAGCUUAACUUGGGAACUGCAUUUGAAACUGGCAAGCUAGAGUCUUGUAGAGGGGGGUAGAAUUCCAGGUGUAGCGGUGAAAUGCGUAGAGAUCUGGAGGAAUACCGGUGGCGAAGGCGGCCCCCUGGACAAAGACUGACGCUCAGGUGCGAAAGCGUGGGGAGCAAACAGGAUUAGAUACCCCGGUAGUCCCUGUCUCUUAUAA
Molecule: ribosomal RNA, 301 nt
Filed under: uncultured bacterium
Lineage: Bacteria
Description: partial 16S ribosomal RNA
Rfam family: Bacterial small subunit ribosomal RNA
Source: RNAcentral